This 489-nucleotide ribosomal RNA is filed under the name uncultured bacterium oral clone 24-27. RNAcentral describes it as "bacterial SSU rRNA". It matches the Rfam family "Bacterial small subunit ribosomal RNA", at positions 8 to 474 of the family's 1533-position model. The record is from RNAcentral.
AGAGUUUGAUCAUGGCUCAGGACGAACGCUGGCGGCGUGCUUAACACAUGCAAGUCGAACGGGAACCUUUAUUUCGGUAAAGGUGAGAGUGGCAAACGGGUGAGUAACACGUAGGCAACCUGCCGACAGGAUGGGGACAACAUUCCGAAAGGAAUGCUAAUACCGAAUGGAGUCCGGGGAUGGCAUCAUCCUCGGAUAAAAGAUGGCCUCUGAAUAUGCUAUCGCCUGUCGAUGGGCCUGCGUCUGAUUAGCCAGUUGGUGGGGUAACGGCUCACCAAGGCGACGGUACAUAGCCGACCUGAGAGGGUGAUCGGCCACACUGGGACUGAGACACGGCCCAGACUCCUACGGGAGGCAGCAGUAGGGAAUCUUCGGCAAUGGACGGAAGUCUGACCGAGCAACGCCGCGUGAGUGAAGAAGGUUUUCGGAUAGUAAAGCUCUGUUGUAAGAGAAGAACGAGUGUGAGAGUGGAAAGUUCACACUGUGACG